Molecule: ribosomal RNA, 375 nt
Filed under: Viviparus contectus
Lineage: Eukaryota; Metazoa; Mollusca; Gastropoda; Architaenioglossa; Viviparidae
Description: partial 16S rRNA
Source: RNAcentral
UCAAUUGUCUUAUAAUUGAAGACUGGAAUGAAUGGUUAAACGAAAUUAAGGCUGUCUCGUUUAUAGUGUUUAAAAAUUGGCUUUUAAAUGAAGAGAUUUAAAUUUAAUUAAAAGACAAGAAGACCCUAUUGAGCUUUAAAUAAUUUUUAGGUUAUAAAUAUUAUUGGAGAUUUAAAUUUGGAAGAUUUUUUAGUUGGGGCGACUAAGGAACAAAUAAAGCUUCCUGUUGUUAUUAAAACUGAUAUGUUUUGACCCAGUAUAAUCUGGUUGAAAGAGAUAGUUACCAUAGGGAUAACAGCAUAAUCUUCUUUGAGAGUUCUUAUCGAAAAGAGGGGGUGUGACCUCUAUGUUGGACUAAAAUAUCCUAAAAAUGUA